UUAGGAAUUUUGGGCAAUGGGCGAAAGCCUGACCCAGCAACGCCGCGUGAGUGAUGAAGGCCUUCGGGUCGUAAAGCUCUUUUCUGUGGGAAGAUAAUGACGGUACCACAGGAAUAAGCAUCGGCUAACUACGUGCCAGCAGCCGCGGUAAUACGUAGGAUGCAAGCGUUGUCCGGAUUUACUGGGCGUAAAGAGCGCGCAGGUGGUUUGAUAAGUUGGAUGUGAAAGCCCCUGGCUUAACUAGGGUAGGUCGUUCAAAACUAUCAGACUUUAGUGCAGCAGAGGAAAGUGGAAUUCCCGGUGUAGUGGUGAAAUGCGUAGAUAUCGGGAGGGACACCAGUGGCGAAAGCGGCUUUCUGGGCUGUAACUGACGCUGAGGCGCGAAAGCGUGGGGAGCGAACC
Molecule: ribosomal RNA, 402 nt
Filed under: uncultured prokaryote
Description: bacterial SSU rRNA
Rfam family: Bacterial small subunit ribosomal RNA
Source: RNAcentral